Molecule: long non-coding RNA, 241 nt
Filed under: Homo sapiens (human)
Lineage: Eukaryota; Metazoa; Chordata; Mammalia; Primates; Hominidae
Description: non-protein coding lnc-MFAP3-1:10
Source: RNAcentral
CAACCCUGCAGCCUGGAACCCUAGCCAUACCUCUCCCUGACUGUGGACAGUACAGCCUUUGAGCUGAGCCAAGCUGCUCCCCUGGCGAUUUCCAUAAGAGUACCACUUAUCAGCACCUUGGACAGCAUACAAAUGAUUCUGCAUCUCCAGUUUUGAUCAGCGACUGGUUGAAUUCGUGGAUGCAAAACCUGUGGAUACAGAGGGACAGAGGCCUACUGUACAUGGCACAUGCCUCCUGAAA